This 72-nucleotide transfer RNA is filed under the name Zea mays. Its description in RNAcentral is "tRNA-His (GTG) (tRNA-His-GTG-5-1)". It matches the Rfam family "tRNA". From Rfam's summary of the family: Transfer RNA (tRNA) molecules are approximately 80 nucleotides in length. Their secondary structure includes four short double-helical elements and three loops (D, anti-codon, and T loops). Lineage: Eukaryota; Viridiplantae; Streptophyta; Magnoliopsida; Poales; Poaceae. The record is from Rfam by way of RNAcentral.
GUGGCUGUAGUUUAGUGGUGAGAAUUCCACGUUGUGGCCGUGGAGACCUGCGCUCGAAUCCCAGCAGCCACA